AAAAUAAUGAUAUUACCUUAUUAUUAGUGUCGUCCAAAUCUGGUGCCAGAAGACUCGGUAAGGCCAGAGACACAAAUGUUAAUCGUCUUAAUCAGGCGUAAAGGGUUUGUAGGCGGCUUUAAAAUUUACUUAACAAACAAACAAAAAUAAUUUAAAAUUAAUAAGUAAAGAAUAAAAGCUAGAAUCAAAUAGAGGAUAUAUGAAAGAAUGCUUAGAGUAGGUCUGAUAUCCUUAUAUACUAAGUAGAAUAUUAAAGGCGAAAGCUUUUUUCCAUUAAUGAUUGACGCUCAGAAACGAAGGUGAGGAUAGGAAAUAGGAUUAGAUACCCAGAAUACUCCUCUCUGUCAACGAUGAAUGGUAGUUAUUAGUAAAAAAAUUUAUUAAUGGCAAUGUUAACACGAUAACCAUUCCGCCUUGUGAGUACAAUUGCAAAGUUGAAAACAAAAAAAUUAGUCGGUUUCGGAGCAAACGAAGUGAAGCAUGUUAUUUAA
This 491-nucleotide ribosomal RNA is filed under the name Russula velutipes. RNAcentral's name for it is "partial 12S small subunit ribosomal RNA". It matches the Rfam family "Bacterial small subunit ribosomal RNA", at positions 463 to 949 of the family's 1533-position model. Lineage: Eukaryota; Fungi; Basidiomycota; Agaricomycetes; Russulales; Russulaceae. The record is from RNAcentral.